Molecule: long non-coding RNA, 871 nt
Filed under: Triticum aestivum (bread wheat)
Lineage: Eukaryota; Viridiplantae; Streptophyta; Magnoliopsida; Poales; Poaceae
Description: long non-coding RNA (TAES_LNC010750)
Rfam family: MIR1120/MIR1122 microRNA precursor family (bases 274-404)
Source: RNAcentral
UGAUGAACCGCGGGUAGUUUUACUGCAAGCAUUAUUUACCUUUUCAUUCAUGUGUCGUUAGUUUGCUCCUAUGUUGGUUUGCUGUCAGACAUUAGUGUGUGGGUCGAUAUAGUACUAUUGCUUGGUUGAGUGGCCUGUCAAGUGCAGGAUUCUAUUAGAGGCGUACAAGCUGCUAUUUGUGCUCAAUAUUAUUGCCGGACCUGUUCUUGUAUUAUCUGAAAAGUUUACCGUGUUCUGCUUUUGUUGGUUUGAUCUUAUAUGGUUUUGUUUUCUCAUUUACUCCCUCCGUUCCGAAUUACUUGUCUUAGAUGAUACGAAUGUAUCUAGCACUAAAAUGAGUCUAGAUACAUCUGUAUCUAGACAAAUUCAAGACAAGUAGUAAUUCGGAACGGAGGGAGUAGAAUUUAACAUCUAUCGUCUGUUGUAGACCAUAGUAAGCCAUUUUCGAUUUCGGAACUACACAUAAUCAGUAUAUAUUCUUUCCUGGAAAUCUCAACGGCACAAGAGCCAAUUUCAAGAUGAAACGAAACAAUCACACUACGCGGCAGCAUAGAGGGCAAAAGCGCAGGGCGAAGUUUGAACAGUGGAACCGUGAGCGGGAGGAAACAAAGUGGUCUCUCUAGUCUACUGCCACUCCACUUGGUUUGGCUGUCUGUUCGUUUGCUAUACUUAAAGCGUGUAAAACUGUAAUUGGUUAUUGGUUGUUGUUUAGUCAGGUACCCUCAGUAGUAGUAUAUCCCGUCAUCUGUUUUACUGUAAUUCCCACAGCAAUAAGUUGUUUUUAGAACGAAGGCUCAAGUCGACCCCUGCUUUCAAUAAAAAAGCUAUCAACCGACCAGGAUUACAGCAUCAACCACAAAAACAAAAAGAC